Small nuclear RNA from Ictidomys tridecemlineatus (thirteen-lined ground squirrel), 105 nucleotides. The record is from Ensembl. Lineage: Eukaryota; Metazoa; Chordata; Mammalia; Rodentia; Sciuridae.
UUGCUUUGGAAGUAAAGGUACCAAAAUGGGAAUGAUGCAGGGAAGACUAGCAUGCCCUCUGCACACAAGGAUGACAUACAAAUUUGUGAAGCAUUCCAUAUUGUU